Non-coding RNA from Schistosoma haematobium, 45 nucleotides. The record is from Rfam. Lineage: Eukaryota; Metazoa; Platyhelminthes; Trematoda; Strigeidida; Schistosomatidae.
AUUCAGCUGACGAGUCCCAAAUAAAGCGAAAAUCGCAUCCUGGAU